This 1729-nucleotide ribosomal RNA is filed under the name Staphylococcus pseudintermedius. RNAcentral's name for it is "partial 23S ribosomal RNA". It matches the Rfam family "Bacterial large subunit ribosomal RNA", at positions 1098 to 2832 of the family's 2925-position model. Lineage: Bacteria; Bacillati; Bacillota; Bacilli; Caryophanales; Staphylococcaceae. The record is from RNAcentral.
AUGUUGGCUUAGAAGCAGCCAUCAUUUAAAGAGUGCGUAAUAGCUCACUAGUCGAGUGACACUGCGCCGAAAAUGUACCGGGGCUAAACAUAUUACCGAAGCUGUGGAUUGUCCUUUGGACAAUGGUAGGAGAGCGUUCUAAGGGCGUUGAAGCAUGAUCGCAAGGACAUGUGGAGCGCUUAGAAGUGAGAAUGCCGGUGUGAGUAGCGAAAGACGGGUGAGAAUCCCGUCCACCGAUUGACUAAGGUUUCCAGAGGAAGGCUCGUCCGCUCUGGGUUAGUCGGGUCCUAAGCUGAGGCCGACAGGCGUAGGCGAUGGAUAACAGGUUGAUAUUCCUGUACCACCAUUAUUCGUUUUAAGCGAUGGGGGGACGCAGUAGGAUAGGCGAAGCGUGCUGUUGGAGUGCACGUCCAAGCAGUGAGAUUGAGUGUUAGGCAAAUCCGGCACUCUUAAGAUUGAGCUGUGAUGGGGAGAGGAACUUGUUCCUCGAGUCGUUGAUUUCACACUGCCGAGAAAAGCCUCUAGCUAGAAUAACGGUGCCCGUACCGCAAACCGACACAGGUAGUCAAGAUGAGAAUUCUAAGGUGAGCGAGCGAACUCUCGUUAAGGAACUCGGCAAAAUGACCCCGUAACUUCGGGAGAAGGGGUGCUCUUUGAGGUUCACGCUUCGAAGAGCCGCAGUGAAUAGGCCCAAGCGACUGUUUAUCAAAAACACAGGUCUCUGCUAAACCGUAAGGUGACGUAUAGGGGCUGACGCCUGCCCGGUGCUGGAAGGUUAAGAGGAGUGGUUAGCGCAAGCGAAGCUACGAAUCGAAGCCCCAGUAAACGGCGGCCGUAACUAUAACGGUCCUAAGGUAGCGAAAUUCCUUGUCGGGUAAGUUCCGACCCGCACGAAAGGCGUAACGAUUUGGGCACUGUCUCAACGAGAGACUCGGUGAAAUCAUAGUACCGGUGAAGAUGCCGGUUACCCGCGACAGGACGGAAAGACCCCGUGGAGCUUUACUGUAGCCUGAUAUUGAAAUUCGGUACAGUUUGUACAGGAUAGGUAGGAGCCUUAGAAGCGUGAGCGCUAGCUUACGUGGAGGCAUUGGUGGGAUACUACCCUAAUUGUAUUGGAUUUCUAACCCGCAGCACUUAUCGUGCUGGGAGACAGUGUCAGGCGGGCAGUUUGACUGGGGCGGUCGCCUCCUAAAGAGUAACGGAGGCGCUCAAAGGUUCCCUCAGAAUGGUUGGAAAUCAUUCAUAGAGUGUAAAGGCAUAAGGGAGCUUGACUGCGAGACCUACAAGUCGAGCAGGGUCGAAAGACGGACUUAGUGAUCCGGUGGUUCCGCAUGGAAGGGCCAUCGCUCAACGGAUAAAAGCUACCCCGGGGAUAACAGGCUUAUCUCCCCCAAGAGUUCACAUCGACGGGGAGGUUUGGCACCUCGAUGUCGGCUCAUCGCAUCCUGGGGCUGUAGUCGGUCCCAAGGGUUGGGCUGUUCGCCCAUUAAAGCGGUACGCGAGCUGGGUUCAGAACGUCGUGAGACAGUUCGGUCCCUAUCCGUCGUGGGCGUAGGAAAUUUGAGAGGAGCUGUCCUUAGUACGAGAGGACCGGGAUGGACAUACCUCUGGUGUACCAGUUGUCGUGCCAACGGCAUAGCUGGGUAGCUAUGUAUGGACGGGAUAAGUGCUGAAAGCAUCUAAGCAUGAAGCCCCCCUCGAGAUGAGAUUUCCCAACUUCGGUUAUAAG